This is a long non-coding RNA of Nomia melanderi (Alkali bee), 1181 nucleotides long. RefSeq lists it as uncharacterized. Lineage: Eukaryota; Metazoa; Arthropoda; Insecta; Hymenoptera; Halictidae. The record is from RefSeq and is a predicted model, not a curated record.
UAGGUAACUGAAGUGCACAUCAAAGUUGGCGUUCGUAGCAGGAACCAAAUGGACUUCUCAGUUAUCCGUUGGUUGCGCCGAUGGUAGCUGUCCGAAACACCGCGGCGAUAUCAUGGGCGAAGUUUAUUCGAUUCUCAUGACGAUCGAGCGCUGGGUGCAAGAGUUGAGCAGCCCUAGCAAGAUCCAGGAACCAGAGAGUCCUGUUGAAACGAAGAUCGUUAGCGACACGAACGAAUUCCUGAUCGACGCGCCGGUUCUUCGGGAUCUCCUGUUAGGCGUGUCGUCAGAGAAUAAUAUAUUCGACAUUAUUUGCACGAUCAACCGGCUAGUCUUCUUUUACGUGAUCAUCAAGUGGAUUAAUCGGGAAGUGUGGAUGAUAGCUGGCGGCGAGCCCUUCGUUUAUCGAUGAGGGUCGACGAAAAACUUCGAUCUUGUCUAUUUGUUGCGAAGUUUGUGAUGUCCUUGGACCAAAGAGAGAAAUCUGAUCGAGGAUGAUUAAUGGAGUAGUGAUCGGCUGACGGUUUUUGUAGUCAGAAUCGUCGGACAGUGGCGUCUACCCGUUAGAUUCGUUGUGUACUUGAUAUUCGAGAUGACCACUGUACACAUGAUACUGCAUAUUUAUUUAUGUUCUUCACAACUAAUGAUCGUCUGGCACUGUCGUUCGGAUUGGCAGAAGUAUUCUCAUUGUACCAACAUGUCUGUUUAACAAAAAUUUAUUAACGCUGAAGUAAAGAAUUCGAGGGAACAUGCCAUUAAUGAUGUGUCGAUGAGAGAAGAAUUGUGAUAUUAUGAAUUAUUCUUUGAGCAAAGUCCUGGAAGUAUAAUGACUAAACGUUUUUCUAAUUUGUUACAAUGAAGAGGUGAAGUGGAAUGGAGUCAAGAAUGGUUCUUAGAUGUUUGUACGGGUUUUACACUUUCAAUUUUAUUUGCUUUACACGCAAAUGUAUACGAAUAACCUUUAUGUAACGUAUUGCACACGAUUUUGUUUGAAACAUAUUUUUGCCAAUGCAGUACAGUGAAUUUGUCGUUUCAAUAUUCAAAGUACACCAUCAUACAAAAUUGCAACUUCGAUUCUUCCUACAAUAAAUAAAACACUGUUACAACGUUUUUUGGUUUCAUUAAAAUAUACCUAAAAGAAAGAGGAUACUCUUUUUAAAGAUAUUUAUUAUGCAAAACUCAUG